Molecule: ribosomal RNA, 295 nt
Filed under: Pseudoamallothrix cenotelis
Lineage: Eukaryota; Metazoa; Arthropoda; Copepoda; Calanoida; Scolecitrichidae
Description: partial 16S rRNA
Source: RNAcentral
AAUUAGUUUUUUAAUUGAAAAAUAGUAUGAAAGGUUUUACCAACUAUUUUAUUUAAAUAUAUUUUUGAAAUUUUAUUUUUAGUGAAAAUACUAAAAUUAAAUAUUUAGACAAAAAGACCCUAUGAAGCUAUUAGUCAUAAAUUGUAUAUAAUAAAAAUUACUAAUUUUUUGGGGAAAAAUUUAAACUUAAUAUUAACAUUAUCAAGUACUAUUAAAAGAGCCUUUUGGAAAUAUGAAAAAGCUCCUCUAGGGAUAACAGCAUAAUAUUUAAAAAAGUUCUUAUUAGAAUAAAUGU